AUGGAACUGGAUGGAACCCGCACAAUAUGUGGGCAAGAGGAUGAAACAGUUCAUCAUGCUCUGAUCGGAUGCCCUCAUGCCCGGAAUCUGUGGGAUAUAAUGCGUACGGUCUGGGAUUUGCCGCCGGCUGAAGCUCUCUGAAACGAAGAGCCGAACUGGUUGCUAAUGCUACUACAUAAGAUGAAUGAAAUACAACACAUGCUUGUCCUGAUGGUGUUGCGGUGUGUGUGGCAUGUUCACAAUGAGCUCACGCAUGAGAAGCCUUUGAUUCCUGCUAAAGCUUCUAAACAUUUCCUAUCAAGCUAUGUAGAAUCAUUGCUUAUGAUCAGGCACCACCCGCAUGCAAACCUCACCAAAGGUAAAUUUCCGAACAUGAUGUAUAGCCCAACAUUGUUGUGUACGAGCAAGUCAAUCUGUCCGAGUGCUAUAGCAUCAUGGGAGCCUCCACCGGAAAAUUAUGUCAAGCUGAAUUUUGAUGGUUCAUAUGUUGCUGCGGAUGGAUCCGUAGGAGCAGGCAUGAUCCUGCGUGACCAUACUGGCCAGGUAAUCUUUGCGGCUUGUAGAUGGCUCUUCGAUUGCCCCAGACUGCUAGAGGUUGAGCUUGCUGGAUGUGAAGAUGGUCUUAAGUUGGCACUGCACUGGUCACAAAAACCAACACUGGUGGAGACAGAUUGUGCUAAAAUUCUGUCCUUAGUGAAUGCAGGGUCACUUGGUCGUUCAAGGAACAUGUACUAG
This 735-nucleotide ribosomal RNA is filed under the name Triticum aestivum (bread wheat). RNAcentral's name for it is "partial small subunit ribosomal RNA". The record is from RNAcentral. Lineage: Eukaryota; Viridiplantae; Streptophyta; Magnoliopsida; Poales; Poaceae.